This 379-nucleotide ribosomal RNA is filed under the name uncultured organism. RNAcentral's name for it is "partial 16S ribosomal RNA". It matches the Rfam family "Bacterial small subunit ribosomal RNA", at positions 526 to 896 of the family's 1533-position model. The record is from RNAcentral.
GUAGGGGUGCAAGCGUUAUCCGGAAUCAUUGGGCGUUAAAGAGCUCGUAGGGCGGUUCAGCAAGUCGGGCUGUGAAAUCCCGAGGCUUAACCUCGGAACUGCAGUCGAUACUGCUGUGACUAGAGUCCGGUAGAGGAGAAUGGAAUUCCCGGUGUAGCGGUGAAAAUGCGCAGAUAUCGGGAGGAACACCAGUAGCGAAGGCGGUUCUCUGGGCCGGUACUGACGCUGAGGAGCGAAAGCGUGGGUAGCAAACAGGAUUAGAUACCCUGGUAGUCCACGCCGUAAACGUUGGACACUAGGUGUGGCGUUCCGACCAACGGGUGCCGUGCCGAAGCUAACGCAUUAAGUGUCCCGCCUGGGGAGUACGGCCGCAAGGCUA